UUUUCCCGUUUUUUUCUCCGGACCCGACCGCUAUCGGGGUGAGGCUAAGCCAUGGGAGUCGUACGCCCCGGAUACCGGGGCGUGGCGGACGGCUGAGUAACACGUGGCUAACCUACCCUCGGGACGGGGAUAGUCCCGGGAAACUGGGGCUAAUCCCCGAUAGGUGGGGACUCCUGGAAGGGGCCCCACCUAAAAGGGUUCUACGGGGAUGUCCGUGGAACCGCCCGAGGAUGGGGCCACGGCCCAUCAGGUUGUUGGCGGGGUAACGGCCCGCCAAGCCUAUAAUGGGUAGGGGCCGUGAGAGCGGGAGCCCCCAGAUGGGCCCUGAGACAAGGGCCCAGGCCCUACGGGGCGCACCAGGCGCGAAAACUCCGCAAUGCGGGAAACCGUGACGGGGUCACCCCGAGUGCCCCGAAGAGGGGCUUUUCCCCGCUGUAAAAAGGCGGGGGAAUAAGCGGGGGGCAAGUCUGGUGUCAGCCGCCGCGGUAAUACCAGCCCCGCGAGUGGUCGGGACGGUUAUUGGGCCUAAAGCGCCCGUAGCCGGCCCGGCAAGUCCCUCCUUAAAGCCUCGGGCCCAACCCGAGGACGGGGGGGAUACUGCCGGGCUAGGGGGCGGGAGAGGCCGGCGGUACUCCCGGGGUAGGGGCGAAAUCCGUUAAUCCCGGGAGGACCACCAGUGGCGAAGGCGGCCGGCUGGAACGCGCCCGACGGUGAGGGGCGAAAGCCGGGGGAGCGAACCGGAUUAGAUACCCGGGUAGUCCCGGCUGUAAACGAUGCGGGCUAGCUGUUUGGGCGGGCUUAGAGCCCGCCCAGUGGCGCAGGGAAGCCGUUAAGCCCGCCGCCUGGGGAGUACGGCCGCAAGGCUGAAACUUAAAGGAAUUGUCGGGGGAGCACAACACGCGUGGAGCCUGCGGCUCACUUG
Molecule: ribosomal RNA, 922 nt
Filed under: uncultured archaeon
Lineage: Archaea
Description: bacterial SSU rRNA
Rfam family: Archaeal small subunit ribosomal RNA
Source: RNAcentral